This 405-nucleotide ribosomal RNA is filed under the name uncultured bacterium. RNAcentral's name for it is "partial 16S ribosomal RNA". It matches the Rfam family "Bacterial small subunit ribosomal RNA", at positions 28 to 526 of the family's 1533-position model. The record is from RNAcentral.
GAUGAACGCUGGCGGCGUGCCUAAUACAUGCAAGUCGAGCGAAGCGGGGACGGGUGAGUAACACGUGGAUAACCUCCUAUAAGACUGGGAUAACAUCGGGAAACCGGAGCUAAACCGGAUAAUUAUAGAUGGAUCCGCGCUGCAUUAGCUAGUUGGUAAGGUAACGGCUUACCAAGGCAACGAUGCAUAGCCGACCUGAGAGGGUGAUCGGCCACACGGGAACUGAGACACGGUGCAGACUCCUACGGGAGGCAGCAGUGGGGAAUCUUCCGCAAUGGGCGAAAGCCUGACGGAGAAACGCCGCGUGAAUGAUGAAGGUCUUCGGAUCGUAAAGCUCUGUUAUUCGGGAUGCGGUACCUAGUCAGGAAGCCACGGCUAACUACGUGCCAGCAGCCGCGGUAAUUC